RNAcentral lists this ribosomal RNA (439 nucleotides) under uncultured bacterium. RNAcentral describes it as "partial 16S ribosomal RNA". It matches the Rfam family "Bacterial small subunit ribosomal RNA", at positions 339 to 795 of the family's 1533-position model. The record is from RNAcentral.
CUACGGGCGGCUGCAGUGAGGAAUAUUGCACAAUGGGGGGAACCCUGAUGCAGCAACGCCGCGUGGAGGAUGACGCAUUUCGGUGUGUAAACUCCUUUUAUAUGUCAAGAAAAUGACGGUAGCAUAUGAAUAAGCACCGGCUAACUCCGUGCCAGCAGCCGCGGUAAUACGGAGGGUGCAAGCGCUACUCGGAAUCACUGGGCGUAAAGGACGCGUAGGCGGGUUGGAAAGUCAGGUGUGAAAUCCUACAGCUUAACUGUAGAACUGCACUUGAAACUUCUAAUCUAGAGUAUGGGAGGGGGAGAUGGAAUUAGGGGUGUAGGGGUAAAAUCCGUAGAUAUCACUAGGAAUACCUAAAGCGAAGGCGAUCUCCUGGAACAUUACUGACGCUAAGGCGUGAAAGCGUGGGGAGCAAACAGGGUUAGAUACCCCGGUAGUC